AUCUCUUUGUUUGAACUAAAUGAACGUCUAAAAUCAGUCUGUUCUUAUCAGUUUAAUAUCUGAUACGGCCUCUACCCGGGGACCAUAUACUAAAUUGAUUUUUGGAAUAGGGAGAUUGAAAAGGGGCUUGCCCCGUCCACUCCACGCAUCAACCUGGUAUUGCAGCACCUCCAGGACCAGUGCACCCCCC
This is a small nuclear RNA of Epinephelus lanceolatus (giant grouper), 190 nucleotides long. RefSeq annotates it as U2 spliceosomal RNA. NCBI's taxonomy places the organism in Eukaryota, Metazoa, Chordata, Actinopteri, Perciformes, Serranidae. The record is from RefSeq and is a predicted model, not a curated record.